GGAGCUGAAGCCAGUCGCAGAUACCAGCUGGCUGCAACUGUUUAUUAAAAACACAGCACUGUGCAAACACGAAAGUGGACGUAUACGGUGUGACGCCUGCCCGGUGCUGGAAGGUUAAUUGAUGGGGUUAUCCGUAAGGAGAAGCUCUUGAUCGAAGCCCCAGUAAACGGCGGCCGUAACUAUAACGGUCCUAAGGUAGCGAAAUUCCUUGUCGGGUAAGUUCCGACCUGCACGAAUGGCGUAAUGAUGGCCAGGCUGUCUCCACCCGAGACUCAGUGAAAUUGAACUCGCUGUGAAGAUGCAGUGUACCCGCGGCAAGACGGAAAGACCCCGUGAACCUUUACUAUAGCUUGACACUGAACAUUGAGCCUUGAUGUGUAGGAUAGGUGGGAGGCUUUGAAGUGUGGACGCCAGUCUGCAUGGAGCCAACCUUGAAAUACCACCCUUUAAUGUUUGAUGUUCUAACGUUGCCCCGUUAUCCGGGGUGCGGACAGUGUCUGGUGGGUAGUUUGACUGGGGCGGUCUCCUCCCAAAGAGUAACGGAGGAGCACGAAGGUUGGCUAAGCAUGGUCGGACAUCAUGCGGUUAGUGCAAAGGCAUAAGCCAGCUUGACUGCGAGAGUGACGGCUCGAGCAGGUACGAAAGUAGGUCUUAGUGAUCCGGUGGUUCUGAAUGGAAGGGCCAUCGCUCAACGGAUAAAAGGUACUCCGGGGAUAACAGGCUGAUACCGCCCAAGAGUUCAUAUCGACGGCGGUGUUUGGCACCUCGAUGUCGGCUCAUCACAUCCUGGGGCUGAAGUAGGUCCCAAGGGUACGGCUGUUCGCCGUUUAAAGUGGUACGCGAGCUGGGUUUAGAACGUCGUGAGACAGUUCGGUCCCUAUCUGCCGUGGGCGUUGGAAGAUUGAAAGGGGCUGCUCCUAGUACGAGAGGACCGGAGUGGACGCACCACUGGUGUUCGGGUUGUCAUGCCAAUGGCAUUGCCCGGUAGCUAAGUGCGGAAGAGAUAACCGCUGAAAGCAUCUAAGCGGGAAACUUGCCUUGAGAUGAGUCUUCCCUGACCCUUUAAGGGUCCUAAAGGAACGUUUAAG
This 1088-nucleotide ribosomal RNA is filed under the name Providencia rettgeri. Its description in RNAcentral is "partial 23S ribosomal RNA". It matches the Rfam family "Bacterial large subunit ribosomal RNA", at positions 1763 to 2843 of the family's 2925-position model. Lineage: Bacteria; Pseudomonadati; Pseudomonadota; Gammaproteobacteria; Enterobacterales; Morganellaceae. The record is from RNAcentral.